RNAcentral lists this ribosomal RNA (409 nucleotides) under bacterium. RNAcentral describes it as "partial 16S ribosomal RNA". It matches the Rfam family "Bacterial small subunit ribosomal RNA", at positions 355 to 776 of the family's 1533-position model. The record is from RNAcentral.
UGGGGAAUAUUGCACAAUGGGCGGAAGCCUGAUGCAGCGACGCCGCGUGGGGGAUGAAGGCCUUCGGGUUGUAAACUCCUUUCGACAGGGACGAAGCUUUUGUGACGGUACCUGUAUAAGAAGCACCGGCUAACUACGUGCCAGCAGCCGCGGUAAUACGUAGGGUGCGAGCGUUGUCCGGAAUUACUGGGCGUAAAGAGCUCGUAGGUGGUUUGUCGCGUCGUGUGUGAAAUUCCGGGGCUUAACUCCGGGCGUGCAGGCGAUACGGACUGACUUGAGUGCUGUAGGGGAGAGUGGAAUUCCUGGUGUAGCGGUGAAAUGCGCAGAUAUCAGGAGGAACACCGAUGGCGAAGGCAGGUCGCUGGGCAGUAACUGACGCUGAGGAGCGAAAGCAUGGGUAGCGAACAGG